GUGCUCGCUUCUGCAGCACAUAUACUAAAAUUGGAAUGCUACAGAGAAGAUUAGCAUGGGCCCUGUACAAGGAUGAUACACAAAUCCGUGACGCAUUCCAUAAUUUU
This 107-nucleotide small nuclear RNA is filed under the name Salvator merianae (Argentine black and white tegu). The record is from RNAcentral. Lineage: Eukaryota; Metazoa; Chordata; Lepidosauria; Squamata; Teiidae.